GAUGAACGCUGGCGGCGUGCCUAAUACAUGCAAGUCGAGCGAACGGACGCGAAGCUUGCUUCUCUGAUGUUAGCGGCGGACGGGUGAGUAACACGUGGAUAACCUGCCUAUCAGACUGGGAUAACUUCGGGAAACCGUAGCUAAUACCGGAUAAUAUUUUGAACCGCAUGGUUCAAAAGUGAAAGACGGUCUUGCUGUCACUUCUAGAUGCAUCCGCGCUGCAGUAGCUAGUUGGUAAGGUAACGGCUUACCAAGGCAACGAUGCAUAGCCGACCUGAGAGGGUGAUCGGCCACACGGGAACUGAGACACGGUCCAGACUCCUACGGGAGGCAGCAGUAGGGAAUCUUCCGCAAUGGGCGAAAGCCUGACGGAGCAACGCCGCGUGAGUGAUAAAGGUCUUCGGAUCGUAAAACUCUGUUAUUAGGGAAGAACAUAUGUGUAAGUAACUGUGCACAUCGUGACGGUACCUAAUCAGAAAGCCACGGCUAACUACGUG
Molecule: ribosomal RNA, 497 nt
Filed under: uncultured bacterium
Lineage: Bacteria
Description: partial 16S ribosomal RNA
Rfam family: Bacterial small subunit ribosomal RNA
Source: RNAcentral